GCCCAUUUCUAUGCCAGGCAACCACUGCAGAAGCACAGAGCACAGGGCCCUGCUUGAUUAGCACUUCUGCUGUUUGGAGAGUCCUGGAGUGUUUUGUUCAAGUCAUUUAAAGUUUCUCUGAAAUGGAAAUGCAGAUGGGAAACCAAGCAGCUGGGGCUUACUGAGGAGUCAGGGAGUCUGUUGCAGCAGAGCCCUGCAAAGCUGGCAGCUGCCAGAAGGAUUUGUUCCAUCCCUGAAUACCUGCACCGCUGCUUCCCCCCGUGCUGCUGUCAGGAGAGGAACAAACAGGUUCACACCUGCUGCAUAGCUGGCCAUGGAGGAAUGCAUGUGCAAAUCUGGCAGGUUAAAUGCUUGAAGGAAUUGCAGAGUCAGGCUCCUGGAAAAUGAGGGCACACACCAAAAAAUCAGCACCUCAGCACACGAGCAGGUCGGGAAGAUGUGUGAACUUGCAGCAGCCUGCACCUGAAAUAGGAGCCUUUAUCCACCAGAGCUUUGUGAGCUCGUAAAAACUCCCCCUAGAACAAGCUGAUUCAUGGGGUGAGGGCAGGAGCUGCCUCUGCCACAGCUCCAGGGCAGCCUGGGCACGGGGUGCUGGCAGUGCCAUGGCUCAGGGCACCCCUCUCCUGUCCCUGUGCCCAGGGUGAUGCCUUCGGGAUGGCAAAGCCUUUUGGAAGGCAAGGCCGUGCAGACAAGGACCCUUCACUCAAGGAGCUGACCUGCCUCAGAAGAAUAAUCCAUUGCUUGGAGCUGCAUUCCCUCUCCUGAGACUGUUUAAGGGUCUCCUGACUGUGUUAACAUCCAAGAAUUCUGAAUCAAACGUGAACUGUGGCCACAUCCACAAGGCUGAAGAGCUCAUGGGCUUGGCAGGGCUGGAGCUGCCAGCUGGGACCUCACAUGACACAGGGACACGUGCAGUCCUCACCCUGACUUGUUUAUGGCACUGCUGUGUGUUUUCAGUGCAAAGGAUGUUAGUGGCAAGCUGGUAGGCUCAGAUAAGCUGCCAGCCACCUUUCCUGGCCAGUCAAGGAAGGUCCUUUGGAAAGGUGUCGCUAAUGUUCAACCACCAAGUGUUUUCAAUAUAAUAUAAAGAUAGAUUUCCAGAUAAUAAAAGUAGGUUGAGUGAUAAAGCAUA
Melospiza melodia melodia is the source of this 1132-nucleotide long non-coding RNA. RefSeq lists it as uncharacterized. NCBI's taxonomy places the organism in Eukaryota, Metazoa, Chordata, Aves, Passeriformes, Passerellidae. The record is from RefSeq and is a predicted model, not a curated record. The transcript has 5 exons.